UGUUUGUGACCUACAUUGCACAGUCUCCUUAGAGUUUUCCAGAAGCGAGUCCUGAGAGGAGGUACAUGCAAUGACCAGUCAUAGCCAUUAGGGGGAAGCAUUUGCUCGUGAAACCAACGACGACGUGACCGACCAGUAACAGACUCAGAUUCCUAUUACCAUGCCCUUGAACUAUCCCAAGAAGCGGGGAUUGAAAUUUUUGAAUGAAUUAUAAACUAAGAGACACUACUGCUGACUCCCCAGGCUAGGAUUCUAGUUUAGUCGCAGGAUGUCCACAACAGACGACCCUCGCCUUCUAUUUGCCCGAGGCUAGAAAUCAAAAUUUGGCUCUACAGACCCAUGAUAUUCCCUCUCUGAUCUACUUCUCUGGACAUCUGGGUUUCCUGUGGAUUGUGUUCAAUCAGCAAUGUUGAGAAGUUUUGCCACGGUACAUCAAGAGUGUAAAUACGGCAGACAAGCUUUGCAUAAUCAGGAUCAGCAGCUUUGAGACACAGAGGUCCUUCCCAAGAACUCAACACAGGAAAGCUGGCCUCUGCCCCCAGAAGCUUCCAGGCGAAGGAGAACAGUCAAGGAGCCAAAGUCCUAGGUGCUCAGCUGGAGGGUGAUUUCCACUCACACCAAUCUUUCAAAACUCUGGGACUUGGGACCGAGCAGCAGCAUUAUGUCAUUUCCAGGCAAAGCCCUAAGUUCUGUCUUCGCUUCAUGUGGUCUCUUUUCGCAUUUUGCACUUCGUCAUUUGCUGCUUCAUCUGACCUAACUCAGCAGGGUCUGAAACCAAAGCCCCUCAAGGACAGGAGAUCUACCUCUGGGCUUGGAAUCAAGAGGACCAGUCCUUUUGGGAGGCCUCCCUGCUACCUUUGGGGCCUUGGGCAAGUCCCUGAAAGUUUCCGGGUGUCAGCCACCUAGUUGGACUCUGGGGAGAGGAAUGCCUACCAUUUGCUUCUGGCUCUGGGAUUUUAAAAGGAAAAGCAGCAGAGUCUUUGGAAACACCAAUCUCUGAAGACCCGGGGUGAACAUUAGUUACAACACCCUAGCUUCAAGGUGAUGUAAACUUCAUGUACGGAGGUUACACUCAGAGGAAUAAAGGAGCAUUCGUCAAACACGAGCCCCCCUCAAUUGGGGUCUAGGGUGGAGAUGGAUUAUUCAAAUGUCUGUGGGCCCAGGCAG
This 1167-nucleotide long non-coding RNA is filed under the name Rhinopithecus bieti (black snub-nosed monkey). RNAcentral describes it as "lncRNA (ENSRBIG00000045759.1)". Lineage: Eukaryota; Metazoa; Chordata; Mammalia; Primates; Cercopithecidae. The record is from RNAcentral.